UCCUCCGAGUCCCUAGUUGAGAACUUCUCUUGUGUGCUCACUGUGGGAGGCUGAGGCAGGAGGAU
Molecule: microRNA precursor, 65 nt
Filed under: Otolemur garnettii (small-eared galago)
Lineage: Eukaryota; Metazoa; Chordata; Mammalia; Primates; Galagidae
Description: miRNA (ENSOGAG00000028392.1)
Source: RNAcentral